AGAAGUUAGCAAUCAUACAAUGAUGAUGGGCACCUGUGCAUUACUGGAAAUUAGCUAAUGAAUAUAACCAUUUCUUUCUCUCUACCUAGAGAGAGGAAAAUAAAUAUUCUGCUCUGUGUUUUUGUUCAGAGCUCAAAUGGCCCUGUCUGUUAUCAGACCUUUAUUUAAUGGGAUUUCUUUUUUCUUGUUCAGAUUUAGUCCUGUGCUGAUUUUGUAAAUAUAUAUUAUAUUUUUAUUUCUGAAACUAUUUUAUUUCAUGUUCCUUUCAAAUCAUAGGAAAAAAAUAAUAUAAUAUAUAUAUACACACAUCUAGUUAUGCCUCUGGGACUGACAAGGCUUAGGCUCUCUGUGGAAUGAGACCCACUGGACACGUCUGUGCUGUUCACAGAGUCACCCCUGAAGAGGUUUUGCAAGCAGUGUGCUCUGUGUCUUGCUGUCAUCCACAUACCUGGAACGCAGACUGAGUGCAAACCGCGUGCCUACUGGCAUACAAACCAGUCUGGCACACUGCCAUGAUUUGGACAGCACAAGCAGGCUGUGAUUACAGAUUACAAAAAGUACUUCCAGUUAAGCAAGAACCCAGAAAGCAGAGACUUCUUCUAAAAGAAAGAAAACUUCAAAAAAGAGAUGACAAAACAGAAACUUACCUUCAAAAGGGCAUAAUAUAUUUUCUGAACAAUAUACAGUACCUUAUCUUAAUUGAAUAGUUUUAUCCUGCAACCAUUUAUGGAAUAGGAGAGUACAAAAUGAGGUAAAAGCCUCACACAUAUUCAGUUUUCUUGGUCUAAUUUGCAAAGCUUUUCAAAUUAGGUUCUGCAAGAAACAGUCAACCUUUGCCCUUUGCAGACUAUUUAUUAUUUUCAUUUUGAGAUGAAACUACAAUAGCUUCAUACUCUUUUCUUCAUAGUCAGUGAUUUGCUUAGAGAGAAUAAUCGAGAAUAAUACUGAGAAAUGGAAAAGAAAACAGCUACAUGUUUUGUUUUCUCAGAAACUAAAAAUUAGAGUGAAGCUGUACUAGCAGCAUCAAUCCAGGGCUGUUUAAUCUGGUGAGAAUUUGGCAGACAAUGAGUGAAUACCAAGAGACAACAAAGAACAUAAUUUCAUAGUCUUUUCUGUCAAAAAAAAAAAAAGCCAGGAUUUGGCUGGUGUCAUAUAAGAAAACACAGGGGCUUCAUCCAUAACCCUGCCCAUCAGGCACUGCAACAACGGUGCUUAGAUUCUAAGAAUCCUUUUGUUCCUAAGUCUGAAAGGUGGUGAUAAAGAUUUAACUUUUGUCCACUGUGAGGACAGUCUCCUUCCCACAGCUCACCUCGAGACAGUGCUGCUCCCCCCCUUACUCAUAUCAUUGUUCAGCCUUCACCAUUAAAACAUCACGAAUAAUAAUUACAUGGUAUGGUAUUAAUAUCCCACCUCCUUUCCCUUCCCAUACCUUUCCAUCCGCAAUCAAAACUAAAACUCAUGCAAUCAAAACUAAACAAUCAAAAAAUUCAAAUAACUUGCAAUCAACAUUUUUGAAUAUUUUUCCCCCUAGGUUUCUGUUAAAAAAAAAUAAUUAUAAGUUCAAUAACUUGUGAGAAGCUGCCCACACAUGCACAAAAUAUGCUGCACAGGCUGAAAGAGUUUAAAAAAGCCUGAAAAAAGAAUCCACCUCCCCCCGUCCAAAAGAAAAAACAAACAAAAAACCACCAAAGAACAAAAAACUUAUUG
RNAcentral lists this long non-coding RNA (1707 nucleotides) under Anas platyrhynchos platyrhynchos (common mallard). Its description in RNAcentral is "lncRNA (ENSAPLG00000021173.1)". The record is from RNAcentral. Lineage: Eukaryota; Metazoa; Chordata; Aves; Anseriformes; Anatidae.